Molecule: transfer RNA, 71 nt
Filed under: Heterocephalus glaber (naked mole-rat)
Lineage: Eukaryota; Metazoa; Chordata; Mammalia; Rodentia; Bathyergidae
Rfam family: tRNA
About the family: Transfer RNA (tRNA) molecules are approximately 80 nucleotides in length. Their secondary structure includes four short double-helical elements and three loops (D, anti-codon, and T loops). Further hydrogen bonds mediate the characteristic L-shaped molecular structure. tRNAs have two regions of fundamental functional importance: the anti-codon, which is responsible for specific mRNA codon recognition, and the 3' end, to which the tRNAs corresponding amino acid is attached (by aminoacyl-tRNA synthetases). tRNAs cope with the degeneracy of the genetic code in two manners: having more than one tRNA (with a specific anti-codon) for a particular amino acid; and 'wobble' base-pairing, i.e. permitting non-standard base-pairing at the 3rd anti-codon position.
Source: Rfam by way of RNAcentral
AGGGGUAUAGCUCAGUGGUAGAGCGCUUGCCUAGCAUACAGGAGGCCUGGGUUCUAGCCUUAGCACCACAA